GAUGAACGCUGGCGGCGUGCCUAAUACAUGCAAGUCGAGCGAACGGACGAGAAGCUUGCUUCUCUGAUGUUAGCGGCGGACGGGUGAGUAACACGUGGAUAACCUACCUAUAAGACUGGGAUAACUUCGGGAAACCGGAGCUAAUACCGGAUAAUAUUUUGAACCGCAUGGUUCAAAAGUAAAAGACGGUCUUGCUGUCACUUAUAGAUGGAUCCGCGCUGCAUUAGCUAGUUGGUAAGGUAACGGCUUACCAAGGCAACGAUGCAUAGCCGACCUGAGAGGGUGAUCGGCCACACUGGAACUGAGACACGGUCCAGACUCCUACGGGAGGCAGCAGUAGGGAAUCUUCCGCAAUGGGCGAAAGCCUGACGGAGCAACGCCGCGUGAGUGAUGAAGGUCUUCGGAUCGUAAAACUCUGUUAUUAGGGAAGAACAUAUGUGUAAGUAACUGUGCACAUCUUGACGGUACCUAAUCAGAAAGCCACGGCUAUCUACGUG
Molecule: ribosomal RNA, 497 nt
Filed under: uncultured bacterium
Lineage: Bacteria
Description: partial 16S ribosomal RNA
Rfam family: Bacterial small subunit ribosomal RNA
Source: RNAcentral